Molecule: non-coding RNA, 1997 nt
Organism: Nelumbo nucifera (sacred lotus)
Lineage: Eukaryota; Viridiplantae; Streptophyta; Magnoliopsida; Proteales; Nelumbonaceae
Source: RefSeq, a predicted model, not a curated record
UUGCGUCUGCGGAGUUGAUUCAACUGUUCGAAUUGUUGCAGUAGCCAACCAUGGCGUCGCAUACGCUGGAGUCCAGAAUGAGCCACUCCAACCCAUUUCUUCUAUAUACACUCUUAAACCUUUUCUUCUCCAUCGAUUACUGGUUUGAUAUUCUUGAUAGGUGAAUGGCGGGGGUGCGGAAAGGAGACUCGGAACUGAUACGGAUUCGUAAGCGGCACAAGUAUGUGUUUGUUGUAGAAUGUUUGCAUUCCUAGAUUUUAACACUUUUGGAAUAUAAGUUUGCUAGUUGUGGAGGGGGCCAUAAUAUCCUUGGUUACUAUGGGCAAGCACGAGGAAUGCUCGAUUUGCAGGCAAGCUGUGCAAGCUCUCACGGCUUUACUAUAAGGAAGCUGGUCAAUCUUCGAUUUUUGGAUUGCUCGAGGCAUUGCUACAUUUGGGGAGGGCAUUCCGACUAUUGCGCCAUACUAUUGCUUCCGGUUUCCGUUAGUAAUGUAAGUAUAUAGGAAACAUCCCUUGCUUAAAGGACUUCCAUUUUCUUUUAAUUCAUUCGGAUAAGUGACUAACUAUUUGUCAUCAAGCUUUGAGUGGUGGCUCGACCAGAAACUGGCCGCCAUUCAAGAUAGGGCUGUCAACGGGUGGGAUCCGGGUCCAGUUUAGGUAGAAGCACUCCCGAACAAAUCAUUAAUUGGGACAAAAUCUUAGACCCAAAACCGUCCAUUUUAACUUAAAAUUUAGGUUGAAACCAAAACAUAGGUUUAAUACCGAACCAUUUAAGCUAAAAAACACCACUUUUCUUAUUUAAACCGCAAACUAAAAUUUAAACUUUAGUCAUAUAUCGUUAAUUAAAUUGAUAGAAAAAUACUAAGUUACUUAUAUGUUAAAACGUUAAACACCUUUAUUUAUCUAUCUAUCAGAUUCGACACUUUAAACCUAUGAGAAGAGAAAAACUUUAAGAAAACGAAGGAAAUAAUAUAAAUGGCUAACAAAAUAAUCGGUUUUGGGCAUGAAUCGAUUCGGGAGGGGCGAGAACCGGAACCAACCUAAUUAUUUAUUUCGACAUAAUCAUGGAGCCGGAUCCUUUAUAAAUGGUUGGGUCUAUUCGGGCCAGUCGGGUGGACCUGAACCGUUGACAGCCCCUUCAAGAACAUGAACGAUGAGAGCGAUUGUGUUGCAGCAAGGUUGGUAUCCCUUUUUCUUCUCGCUUUGGACCUGUACUUCGAGGUAAGGACCAUUCAAAACCGCACUCGAUGUUCGUACCUUUGUUAUUGAAGCAUAAGAUUUUGCCCUGGGAAGUUGAAUUUGGAUUCACACGAAUUAAUAAAUUGUGCUAAUGCAAUUUCUGCCUCAUCAUUCUAGGAACAUUCUAAUGGGUUCGCAUUGUCAACUGCCGUAUCAGAAUGACUGCGAUAGUGCAUUGCCACUUCCAUGAGAUUGCGUCAUUGGAGCUGAUUCAAGCAUUCGAAUUGGAGCAGUAGUCCGCCGAGGCCUUGCAUACGCUGGAGUGAACGGCGUGAGCGCAUAGGAGACUCGGAAGCGAUACGGAUGCAGAAGCUGCACAGGCACGAAGAAUGCUCGACUUGCGGGCAAGAUAAACAACCUCUCGCGGAAAAACUAUAAGGAAGCUGAUCAACUCUUAGGUGUAAGCUUCUCAAUUCUCAUAUUCAUUUGGUGUUCUCGUUUGGAUGUAUGAGUUACUAAAUUGCUUUGGUUAUAUGCGUAGUUUUUUAUUUUCUCGAGGCGUUUCUACUUUUGGUGAUCGACUUACCGAAUCCUGUGCCUUACCAUUGUUCCCUGUUUAAGAUAUCAAUGUAAGUAUAAGAAACAUCCCGGUUGUGGAGGUGACCAUAAUAUCGUUGGUUCUUAUGGGUGCAGGUACGAAGAAUGCUUGACUUGCGGGCAAGAUGCGCAACCUCUCGCGGCAAUACUAUAAGGAAGUCGAUCWACUCUUCGGUGUAAGCUUCUCAAUUCUCAACUUCAUUCGGUGUUCUCGUUUGGGU